ACACUCCUGCGGGAGGCAGCAGUGGGGAAUAUUGCACAAUGGGCGCAAGCCUGAUGCAGCCAUGCCGCGUGUAUGAAGAAGGCCUUCGGGUUGUAAAGUACUUUCAGCGGGGAGGAAGGCGAUAAGGUUAAUAACCUUGUUGAUUGACGUUACCCGCAGAAGAAGCACCGGCUAACUCCGUGCCAGCAGCCGCGGUAAUACGGAGGGUGCAAGCGUUAAUCGGAAUUACUGGGCGUAAAGCGCACGCAGGCGGUCUGUCAAGUCGGAUGUGAAAUCCCCGGGCUCAACCUGGGAACUGCAUUCGAAACUGGCAGGCUAGAGUCUUGUAGAGGGGGGUAGAAUUCCAGGUGUAGCGGUGAAAUGCGUAGAGAUCUGGAGGAAUACCGGUGGCGAAGGCGGCCCCCUGGACAAAGACUGACGCUCAGGUGCGAAAGCGUGGGGAGCAAACAGGAUUAGAAACCCGAGUAGUCCCA
This 473-nucleotide ribosomal RNA is filed under the name uncultured organism. RNAcentral describes it as "partial 16S ribosomal RNA". It matches the Rfam family "Bacterial small subunit ribosomal RNA", at positions 333 to 797 of the family's 1533-position model. The record is from RNAcentral.